Vicia villosa (hairy vetch) is the source of this 710-nucleotide long non-coding RNA. RefSeq lists it as uncharacterized. NCBI's taxonomy places the organism in Eukaryota, Viridiplantae, Streptophyta, Magnoliopsida, Fabales, Fabaceae. The transcript has 3 exons. The record is from RefSeq and is a predicted model, not a curated record.
AGGGAUUGAAGGUGAAGGCUUAGCUCUGUUGUAGCAGAGUUUCAGAGGUUGAAUCUCUGCUCAACAAUGGAGAUGAGCGUAUAGUGAUGGUGAGGGUGAGGUUUGGUGAUGAACGGUUGAGAAGAUGAAGAAGGUUGUGGAGAGUGAUAAGGAUCAAUGAAGAGAAAAUGGUCGUGAGGCCCUUUGAAGUGUGGUGAUUCUGAUUUAUAGAGGUUGAAGGACUGCCAGUGGAUUAAUAGGCUUGGUUUAGGGACUUUAAACUCGAAGCGGGCUCGGUUUCAGAUUGAUUGUGAAGCAUAAGUUCCAGGGAUGUACAGCAGGUCGAACAACAAGGUGCCGCAAGCUUAGCUCGGGCUAUCAUGACUUGAUGUAAGUGAAGUUUUAGAAAUGGACCAAAGUUAUGCAGGCUGAUUGAGGCCACGAAGGGAAUCAGGUCAUGCUUGGAAACUCUUAGAAGCUUUGUUGGACAUGGAGCAAAAUGAAGAUUAAAAGGAAAUGGGUCAAUUAAAAAAAGCAACAAGUUUUAGGAGGUCAAUUGUAGAAGGUUAAUGGUCUUCGGUUCUGGUCAAAGUCAAUGGUCAACAGUUGACCGAAAGUCAACUGUUGACUUUAGUCAACUCUUGUAUUUUAUUUUUUUUUGGUAUAAUUUGUUGUAUUCGAAAUGAAUGGAAUUUUGACCAAUGGUAAUGAGAGGUGAACAUCCUCGUAAA